Long non-coding RNA from Equus asinus (donkey), 4278 nucleotides. Lineage: Eukaryota; Metazoa; Chordata; Mammalia; Perissodactyla; Equidae. The record is from Ensembl.
AAGAAAUUGAGAAAUUUCCAGUUACCAUCUUAAGAUGUUCCAGGCCCAGAGAGAUGAAUGUUAUUAAAUAUUUGGGGAAUGAAAGCCUUUAACACUGUUUAAGUUAUUUCAGAGCAUACAGUGAGAAAGAUAUAUUCCAAAUUUCGCCAACCAAUCCAGCAUAACACUGAUGGCGAAACAUGAGAAACAGGACAGAGAAGGUACAAUGGAGAAAACCAGAGCCCCACCUUGCUCGUGUGAAUGUGUGUGUGUGUCUGUGUAUAUAUGUACAUAAUAGAAUUCAGCAACACAUUAAAAGAAUAAUAAACCAUACCCAGGUGGAUUUAUUUCAAAAAUGUAAAAGUGAAACAAUUUAAGAAUAUUUACUGGAAUAAUUCACCACAUUCAUAGGUCAAGGGAGGAAAAACGUGAUCAUUUCAAUAGAUUCCUCAAAGUUAUUUGAAAAGUUAAAAAUCAAUUUAUGGACUUUACAAAACUUCUAAUACAAUAGGAAAGCGUGUGUUAUUCUUUAAGAAAAUUAAAUCUAUGUCUCUAACAAAAACGUCUGCACCGGGCGAAUGAAGAGUGAGAUCAACCCAUUACAAUAGCAGCCAUUGAAUCAGAGAACAGAAAGAAAAUAGUGAAAAUAGAAGACAGGAGGGAAUAAUUUAUUAUUACUGAUAACAUAUACCGUUAAUUUUAUACCUGGACAAAACAGGAAAAUCAAUUGAAAAGCAAUUAAAGAAAAAAUAGAACUUGGGGGCCGGCCCGGUGGUGCAGCGGUUAAGUGCGCAGUUUCCACUUCUCGGAGGCCCAGAGUUCGCGGUUUGGAUCUCGGGUGUGGACAUGGCACCGCUUGGCAAAAGCCGUGCUGUGGUAGGCGUCCCACAUAUAAAGUAGAGGAAGAUGGGCAUGGAUGUUAGCUCAGGGCCAGUCUUCCUCAGCAAAAAGAGGAGGAUUGGCAGAGUUAGCUCAGGGCUAAUCUUCCUCAAAAAAAAAAAAAAAAAAAGUAGAAUUCAACAAAGAAGCUGGUUAUGAAAUUAACAUGCAAAAAUCAAGUUUUUCAUACAAAUAGUAACCAGGAGAAAAUAUAAUGAGGGAAAAUAGAAUUUAUAUAUUAGCAAUGAAUUGGAGGGGAAAUACCUAAGAAUAAAGUUAAGAAUCCACAAUACUUACGUGAAUAAAAGCAUAAUACUCUAUUGAGAGAACUCAAAGACAUAUUUGGAUAAAUUGAAAGAUAAAAGUUGGAUAAGAAAUCUCAUUAGUGUAAACUUCUCAAGUCCCCUAAAUUAACAUAGAAAUUCAAUGAGAUUCCAGUCACUGAGAAGUUAAUUCUAAUUCACAUAGAAAUAUAGCUAUAUAUUACAUAUAAUAUAAUAAUAUAGAAACACGUGUCAGAAUAGCCAGGAAUUUUGGGGGGAAAACCAAGGAGGAACUAGUCCUACCAGAUGCCAAAAUGUACAAAAGUACAGUAAUAAAAUGAAGUUAGUGUUGGUGGAGAAAUAGGUCAUUGGAACAGAGUCUAGAAACAGGCCCAAAUACAUACGUCAUUUAAUAUGUGAGGGUCCACGUGCGGAUCCCUAGGCUACUGUCUCAGCUUCGGAGCCGUCCUGCGCUCGCUCGGCGACGCUGGGCUGGGACGCCGAGCGCGUCUCUCUCGGCCGGCCGGCUGCCCGCCGGUGGUGCCCGCGGGGGCGCUGGGGGAGAGCCGAGCGGGAGGAGAACGGGCGCCGGCUCCUCCGGGCUGCCUCCUGCGGCCGCCGCUGCUGCCCGCGAGCCCUCUGCCUCGGCGGCGAGUGGCCGCUGUUUCCCACGACAGCGAGUUCCAGCGACCUGCGUCUCUCCACGUUCUCAACCAGGCUCGCGUUCUGGGUCUGGGCUCCCUAAGGCCCUCGCCAAACACCGAGAGAAAUUCUAGAGGAAUCAAAGAUUAGCAUAUAAAAAAAUCUGACAGGUUGCAGAUGAGAGGAAGGGGUGAGGAGGAUUCCGAAAAAAUGGCAGUUUAUUGUGCAGAAGCCGUGGCGCUUCCCGACCCAGCCCCAGUCCCGCUGCUCUUCUCCUAAAACAAGCCGCCGCUGAGGCUCCACGGGCGCGGGCAGCGCCCCGGCUCAGUCACCGGCCCGACGAUGGAGCUGGGGUGGGAGUUCCUCCCUGUGCCGGAGGAGAUCCCGGCGACCAGCAUCAGAGUCCUGGGGCAGCAGAGCGGCCAGCGUGGUACCUACGGUCAGGUUGGGCAGUCCGCGGGCCGCAGGGCAGGGCGGGGGCCCCAGGUCACGGCCCGGAGGAGCCGGGGUCUCUCUGGCCUCCGGGUCGAGCUGACUCCUCUCUGUCCCUGAGCAGCGGACGCUCAGGCUUCACUAGCCUUGGCAGCACGGGGCCCGUUGGAGGACUCGUAGCUCGCGGGCGCUCACGCCGCAGUCCACAGGCCGACUGCGGGCCGGCCCUCCUCCCGGGACGGUGACGACGGGACGGUGACGACGGCCGGGAGAGCGCCAGCGGCAGGGAGCCAGCGCGAGAGCCAGAGAAAGAGUCUCCUAGAGUCCCCGAACCGCUGGAGGGACAGACACGUGCCGGGAGCGCUCCAGGGUUCAAGUCCAGCCCUGGAAAGUCUUCCCGAUGAGAUGCGGAUGAACGCUCGCGCCUGGUGACGUCAGCUAAGAGAGAACGCAAAGACACAGUCACCAGCUUAUUACUCGGCACAGCAGUUUCUAGUCGGAGAACAUCACAUGGAAGGAAGAGGAGUGGCUGCCGCGUGGGGAUGAACCCGAAGCACACUGCGCAGUGGAGGAAGGAGGAGGAAGGAGGAGGAAGCAUGUCCCGUGACUCGUCAGUGGGCUGUGCGCACGCACUGGUUUUACACCUUUUGAACUACUCACGUAUUUACUUUUAUUGUGCCCUCAACGUAUUUUCUGUGAUAUAACUUUAUUUGUAGUGAAGUUUGGAUGCAAGAUCACCGUGAACCCCCUAAAUGUUGAGAAAUGGUUGAACGGUGCGGAAAGAAGGCCAUGCCUUCCAAAGAACCCCUUCUCCGCCAGCCCCCCCACUACCAAGUCUUUCUUCCUCCUUCCUUCCUCCUUCGCAGCAAGGUUUUCAGGAGAGAGCUGACAUCUUUAAGGGAAGGAUAGGUGCAUUUUUUGGAUUAGCGAUGCUCUCUGCGGAGUACAGAUGAAGUCGCAUUGCCUCAUGGAGCUCAUGGCUACUAUCUUGGGAACCAACUGAAGCAGCUGGAGAAUUGAAGUCGUUGGCAUUCAUUGGACCGUCUCCAUUCCUUGCUGUAGACAGAAAGACACCGUUCUCAACGUGUUGAGUUUGUGAUCCUAGGGACCAAGCUUUGGCCUUUUACCACUAAGAUGAAAUGACUACAGACCCAUUGACUAAGGACCACAAAGGCUCACGUAAACAUAAGGAAAAGGGUGUGUAUCACUAAGGAUUAGGUUUAACUAAAAGGCAGACCUCCAUGGUAACACUGCUGACUUAAGACAGUGGUAUAUUUCUCUGUCUUGUGUAAAGGUCUGUAAGGUAAGUAAUCCAGGGAUGUUGUAGGAUCUCUAUUCCUCUAAGUCUCCAGGAACUCAAACUCCUUCUGGCUUGCUGCUUUACCAUCCCACUGGUGUGGUCCUUAUCCUCAUAGUCCAAGAAGGCAGCUAGAGCUCCAGCUCUCUCACCACAUUACAAGCAGUGGGAUGGAAAGAGUGACAGAGAUGAAGGGGAGCAUGAUGGUUGAGAUUAUGUGUCGACUUGACUGGCCGUGGGCUGCCCAGAUUAAACAUUAUUUCUAGGUGUGUCUGUAAGGGUAUUUCUGAAUGAGAUUGACAUUUGAAUCUGUGAACUCAGUAAAGUAAAUUGACCUCCCCAAAGUGGGUGGGCAUCAUCCAUUCUGCUGAGGGCCUGAAUAGAACAAAAGAUGGAGGAAGGAGGAGUUCGCUGGGACAUCUCCUCUCAUCUUCUGCCUCAGACUAGGACUGAUGCUAUUGGCUCCCCUGGUCCUCAGGCCUUUGGACUCAGACUGAAUUAUAUCACCGGCUUUCCUGCGUCUCCAGGAUCUGCAGACAGCAGAUUGUGGGGCUUCCUCGCCUCCAUAAUCGUGGGAGCCAAUUCCUCAUAAUAAAUCGCCUUUGAUGUCUAUGUAUCCUGUUGGUUCUGUUUCUCUGGAGAAUUCUAACUAAUACAGGAAGCAAAGGGCAUGUGUCAGACCAUAGGAGGAAGCUUGAUAUUUUAAAACCUUUAUGCAUCUUGCUAAAAUCUUCAGCGUCAGAGAAAAGGUUUUAGUUGGAUGGUCCUGUUACACUGGCGUCUGAG